AUCGAUGAAGAGUGCAGCCAACUGUGUGAAUUAAUGUGAAUCGCAGACUGCUUUGAACAUCGAUACCUUGAACGCAUAUUGCGGCCAUAGGCUUGCCUAUGGCCACGUCUGUCUGAGCGUCGGCUUAUAAACUAUCACUGCGCGUAAUAAGCAGUGGCUUGGGAGAGUGCCGUGAUUGCAGUAGUUAUGUGUGUGUAUAUGUGUGUUGCGUGCGCGCUACUACUGCUGCAGUUGGGGCUUCUCUUUAAGGUAUUAUCACAGCCAUUGCCAUUGCGAAUGGUGAUGCGUGUGAUGCGGAGCUUGUGGUUGUGUGAGUAACCAGCUGCUAUAUGCCGGUACUGCUAUUACUUUGAUACAUGGUUUCAACAGUGGUGAGAUUUUGUAUGUAUAUAUAUGUGUGUGUGGACUACUGUUGCCGCUGUUGAUAUCGUUGUAUCAGGGAGUGGUGGUAUAUGAGCGUUUAUAGUUGCUGCAGUUCACUAACCGUGGCCUAGUGUGUGUGUGUACUCCUUAUGUUACAUAUGUGUGUAUAUACAAGGCACGAGAUGUGAAUUGUGGUGGGUGAAGGCUGGUGCACAAUAUUAGCAAUCAUAGAAGCCCAAUAUAUGAGCAAGCAUAGGUCACGCGUAUACUAUACUAUAUCACGAUGAUAUAAAUAGUAUGUGUAUGGAAGACCUGACCUCAGAUCAGUCGUGAUUACCCGCUGAACUUAAGCAUAUCAAUAA
This 725-nucleotide ribosomal RNA is filed under the name Hymenolepis diminuta. RNAcentral's name for it is "eukaryotic LSU rRNA". The stretch from base 1 to 122 matches the Rfam family "5.8S ribosomal RNA", at positions 32 to 154 of the family's 154-position model. The record is from RNAcentral. Lineage: Eukaryota; Metazoa; Platyhelminthes; Cestoda; Cyclophyllidea; Hymenolepididae.